Long non-coding RNA from Rhopilema esculentum, 1762 nucleotides. RefSeq lists it as uncharacterized. The record is from RefSeq and is a predicted model, not a curated record. Lineage: Eukaryota; Metazoa; Cnidaria; Scyphozoa; Rhizostomeae; Rhizostomatidae.
AUAAGAUAUUAUUGAUUCUUGCAAUCUUUAAAAUCGGCUUAAAACGUUUUUAUUUCUUGUUGGAUUUUAGAUAUUUAGUGUCCAACAUCUGUUGAAAAUGAUUAAAUGGUCAAGCCUUGCACUUUCUGGAAGAAAAAAACCAUUUUGCAACAUGAUUCUGCCAUUAAGCAUAUUUAUUUGAUGCUCUGGUAUCAAAUCUGCUACAUGAACUUCAUAUUGUGGCGUUAACAAAGUGCAACCACAUAAAGGUCAUAGUGGACAACUCUGGUGCAGAUACGUAGCAAAGGAAGGAAGGAUAAUGCUGAUCAACCAGCUACAAUAAUGAGAAACGAUAAAGAUGUCAGAUAAAUACUUAAAUGGGAUCAAGUCAUUGGAUUUGAAAUCAGUUUUUUUCAAGUCUUGUCAUUAGGUAUUCAAAAAGAUGUCAUUAGGUAUCAAUUUUGCUUUUUUUAGUCUUUGGUUUAUAAAGAAAGACGAUCAACUACUAAGGGCAACAGUUUUAUAGCUGGAUUUAGUCACUUCUGUUUGUUUGCGGUUGAUUCAGAAAUCAUGUGCCAUAUUUAAUCAUUUUGACAUUUUUAUCAGCUUUAAUUAUACCAAAAUUAUUAUGCCAUUAUCUCACUUUCAUUUGAAGAGACCACCCAUGUCAUUGUUAACAUUUCUUGUCUUUCGUAUUUUUUAAUAAAAAAGAUAGCAUUUCAAAAACGAAAUUUGAUCAGCAAAUGAAUCUUAAUUCUAGUUCUCUAGUGCUUGUAUGCAUCAAGCAAUGGACAGUUUUACGGAUAAAGGACUGGAAAAUCUUCUCAGCAUUUGUCUUAUAAAUGCGGAAAAAUGGCUUUUAACUAAAUCAUCAUCUAGUGAUUCAUAUUUGUCACAUGGAUUCAUCACUGACAAUGUGUUUAUUCACUAAGUGGGGCUCAAGAAAUCAGUAAACAAAUUCAAAGCAAAUAUUGGUAUAUACAAAACUAAGCAACUUUCCUUACUGGUUAUUUCAACUUAGCUGUUUAACAGAACUCCAAUGAAUUAAAAGUUCUUUUCCUCGCCUAUAAUUUCUAUAUCGAAAAUAAGAAGUUCCUUUUUAAGAUCGCACAGUUCAUCAAUUUCCUAAAAUAAUUUAAGUAGUAAAUUCUCUUUAUGGAUAGCAACUUAUAUUCUUGGAGGCUAAAGAAUUUACAUUGCCUUUUCUGAAACGUUGAUAAGUCACGCCAGAAUUUGACAUGUUCUUUUACCAGAAUUGUAGUUCUCGGCAUUCCGUUUGGUGACGUAAGCUCCCUUGUUGAUUUCAAACGUGGAGAGAAAAGAGUUCAAAAGGUUAAGUGAUCUUAAGUGGCCCUUACUUUAUUGCAAACAGUAUCCUAUAAUCUGAUUGUAGGUUUGAUAUAAAAAGCAUGUAGUUCUCUGCAAAAGGAAUUUCGGCUUAUAUCUCAGUAACGUGGUUGCUGCUGUGAUUAUGACCAACUUCGAAUGAGACACUCGGAUAAGGAACAAUGCAUGUUAAGCCUUUAAUCUAGUGCUCGAUAAAAACAGCUAGAUAUGAUAUGAUUAUUAGACCCGUAUUCAAGAGAUCAUUCAGUCAUGCAAUCAUUUGGUGGUCUUGUGAUCUUUGACGCAGCAGUUUGUUCCAAAAGGACAAUAAUAUACAGAAGCAUAAUACUUCUUAAAAAAAGAAUAUUAUAAAUAUUAUUUGAACUUUAUUCUAUAUUAAAACUGAACUUAUAUAGAUAGCACCGCUGGUCAUGAGAUUGAAUCUUUCAACGGUCCU